GAUGAACGCUGGCGGCGUGCCUAAUACAUGCGAGUCGAGCGAACAGACGAGGAGCUUGCUCCUCUGACGUUAGCGGCGGACGGGUGAGUAACACGUGGAUAACCUACCUAUAAGACUGGGAUAACUUCGGGAAACCGGAGCUAAUACCGGAUAAUAUAUUGAACCGCAUGGUUCAAUAGUGAAAGACGGUUUUGCUGUCACUUAUAGGUGGAUCCGCGCCGCAUUAGCUAGUUGGUAAGGUAACGGCUUACCAAGGCAACGAUGCGUAGCCGACCUGAGAGGGUGAUCGGCCACACUGGAACUGAGACACGGUCCAGACUCCUACGGGAGGCAGCAGUAGGGAAUCUUCCGCAAUGGGCGAAAGCCUGACGGAGCAACGCCGCGUGAGUGAUGAAGGUCUUCGGAUCGUAAAACUCUGUUAUUAGGGAAGAACAAAUGUGUAAGUAACUAUGCACGUCUUGACGGUACCUAAUCAGAAAGCCACGGCUAACUACGUG
RNAcentral lists this ribosomal RNA (497 nucleotides) under uncultured bacterium. Its description in RNAcentral is "partial 16S ribosomal RNA". It matches the Rfam family "Bacterial small subunit ribosomal RNA", at positions 28 to 507 of the family's 1533-position model. The record is from RNAcentral.